This 65-nucleotide transfer RNA is filed under the name Pseudomyrmex pallidus. RNAcentral describes it as "tRNA-Arg". The record is from RNAcentral. Lineage: Eukaryota; Metazoa; Arthropoda; Insecta; Hymenoptera; Formicidae.
UUGCAAAGUAAUAAUUUACACUCAGUUUCGACCUGACUAUUAGGCUAAUGAUCCUAGCCUGCAAG